AUACGAAGGAUGCAAGCGUUAUCCGGAUUUAUUGGGUUUAAAGGGUUCGUAGGCGGAAAAUUAAGUCAGUGGUGAAGGCCUGCAGCUCAACUGCAGAACUGCCAUUGAUACUGAUUUUCUUGAAUUUAUAUGAAGUGGGCGGAAUGCGUCAUGUAGCGGUGAAAUGCACAGAUAUGACGCAGAACACCAAUUGCGAAGGCAGCUCACUAAUGUAAUAUUGACGCUGAGGAACGAAAGCAUGGGGAGCGAACAGGAUUAGAUACCCUAGUAGUCC
Molecule: ribosomal RNA, 274 nt
Filed under: uncultured bacterium
Lineage: Bacteria
Description: partial 16S ribosomal RNA
Rfam family: Bacterial small subunit ribosomal RNA
Source: RNAcentral